RNAcentral lists this transfer RNA (72 nucleotides) under Sphaerodactylus townsendi. RNAcentral describes it as "tRNA-Ala". It matches the Rfam family "tRNA". Rfam says of the family: Transfer RNA (tRNA) molecules are approximately 80 nucleotides in length. Their secondary structure includes four short double-helical elements and three loops (D, anti-codon, and T loops). The record is from RNAcentral. Lineage: Eukaryota; Metazoa; Chordata; Lepidosauria; Squamata; Sphaerodactylidae.
GGGACUGUGGCUCAGUGGCAUAGCAUCUGUUUGGCACGCAGAAGGUGCCCGGUUCAACCCCCGGCAUCUCCA